RNAcentral lists this ribosomal RNA (320 nucleotides) under Staphylococcus aureus. RNAcentral's name for it is "partial 23S ribosomal RNA". It matches the Rfam family "Bacterial large subunit ribosomal RNA", at positions 1578 to 1899 of the family's 2925-position model. The record is from RNAcentral. Lineage: Bacteria; Bacillati; Bacillota; Bacilli; Caryophanales; Staphylococcaceae.
UUGUGUCUUCGAGUCGUUGAUUUCACACUGCCGAGAAAAGCCUCUAGAUAGAAAAUAGGUGCCCGUACCGCAAACCGACACAGGUAGUCAAGAUGAGAAUUCUAAGGUGAGCGAGCGAACUCUCGUUAAGGAACUCGGCAAAAUGACCCCGUAACUUCGGGAGAAGGGGUGCUCUUUAGGGUUAACGCCCAGAAGAGCCGCAGUGAAUAGGCCCAAGCGACUGUUUAUCAAAAACACAGGUCUCUGCUAAACCGUAAGGUGAUGUAUAGGGGCUGACGCCUGCCCGGUGCUGGAAGGUUAAGAGGAGUGGUUAGCUUCUG